GCGGCGCUGACCCGUUCCCGGGUGGGCCGCCCGGAGCGCGGCUGGCUGGACAAGCUGGUCGCCCGGGGCUCCUCCGGGGUGCUGUUC
This 87-nucleotide transfer RNA is filed under the name Streptomyces lomondensis. RNAcentral's name for it is "tRNA-Ser". The record is from RNAcentral. Lineage: Bacteria; Bacillati; Actinomycetota; Actinomycetes; Kitasatosporales; Streptomycetaceae.